Long non-coding RNA from Mauremys mutica (yellowpond turtle), 378 nucleotides. RefSeq lists it as uncharacterized. The record is from RefSeq and is a predicted model, not a curated record. Lineage: Eukaryota; Metazoa; Chordata; Testudines; Geoemydidae. The transcript is spliced from 4 exons.
CUGGAAAGGCAGGAGGGGGACCUCAUGCAGCAGCGUGCUGUGAGUGCUGUGAAUGGUACAUUGUUUUCAGAAACAUCCCUCUCCAUAUCAGCUCUCAACGAUUGAAGUUAAAGAAAACAAAGAUGCAGUUAGGAACUGGGACCCUUUGUUGAUUGAUUACCUGCACUGAGUACCUGCUUAACAUGGAUUUUACACUCUAACAUACCCUGGGCUUCUGAGAGGAAGGUGAAGAAAACCCCAUCUGACCCAGGCAAAGUUAGGAGUGAGGAGAAAAUUCCUUCUGAGUCCCAAAAAGGAGGCAUUGAGGAUACAAGUGGCUCCCAAGGGUCUACAGAGCUCAGGACAUCGGAUCCUAGGUGGAUGAUAUGAAAAACAGGC